Molecule: ribosomal RNA, 2146 nt
Filed under: Triticum aestivum (bread wheat)
Lineage: Eukaryota; Viridiplantae; Streptophyta; Magnoliopsida; Poales; Poaceae
Description: partial small subunit ribosomal RNA
Source: RNAcentral
CUUUAAUUAGGCUAGUCUGGCGAAACACCGUCGCUUGUUUAGCGUGCCGACUCACCAACGAAGCGAAGCGGACGUGCCGACGCGCGUGCCGGCCUCGGGCCGCGAUAUUUUCCGGGGCCUCGCUGCGGAGAAGAAGGAGUCUCUCUGCGGAGUUGGGGGUGGGGUGGUGGGUGCUCGUUGUGCGUCGGUGUUAGGGUAGGGUGAGGUGCCACUCCAACUCGCUAGACUGCUCGGGAAGUCGUCGUCGUCGCUGCUGCCGCCGUCCAAACGAGAGACUUGAAGAGACCAGAAAAAUCGCCGUCGGUCGUCCUUGUGUGUCCUUUGGUUCCAGGGCAAGUUCCCCAAGCGAAGAAGACCCUAAUAAUCUAGCCUUCUCCGCGAGAGGAGAACGAGCCCUAGAAGAACUAAAGAACGGUUGGAGUGGUGAGAGGAUCCUCCUUGUCUCUCUAGGUCUCUUGGAAAAAAGAGAGGACCUAAGAACGGGAAAAAGUCGGAACAAAACGAAGCCAUGCCGGCCUUUCCCAAGAAAACGUUAUGGGAAGAUCAAGCAGGCUAAAUAAGGGGAGCAAAGAGAUUAAAAUAACUCCUUGUCCCGGGAAAAAAAAGAAAGAAAGACGAACGUGCUCUUUCGAAGGAAAAAAGGUAAGGCAAAAACCAAGCCGGAAGAGCUGUAGUGGAAGAAGAAGAUGGAGACAGGUUCGGGAGUACCGGCGACGGUAUCUGUACAUGUUCAUGUUGUGGUCGUGCGUGGUCUAGCCGAGGCGGCGGAGACGAAGCCUAGUCCUCGAGUACUUUCGUGAGCUUGGAAAAUAGUGCUAACGAAGGAGGAGAAGGAGAGUGAUGGGCAUGGUCAUGAUGAGAAGAGGGAGGUACUGGGUUUUAAGUAUGUACCGGUGGGGUAGCAGCAGGAUGCGGAGGAGCAAGCGUCAGAGAGGAGACGGGUGGUGGCGCGGGCGGAGCGGCAGAAAGAGCGUCGAAGGCGGCGAGAUGAGGAGCGUCAUACGGCGAAGCCCGUACUUGCCUAGGUACCCCGACCGGGUCGAGCCGGGCCGGGUCUAGGUCGUCUAGGUCCGGGUCAAGAAGCAGGUCGUCGUCGUCGUCGUCUCCCCGGACCGACCACCGAGCAAGGAACCCGGCGCGCGCGUCGGCUACUUCGUCAGGCCCAGCGGCGGCGCGCGCAGGCGGCGCCGCGACCGCGACCGGCCUCACCGCGGGCGCGUCAGGUUCGACAUGGCGCCGCACGCCGUCGCGGUGACCCCGUUCACCCACCGCCUCUAGGCGGAGGGGUUCUUGGCGUGCUCCGACACCGAGCCGUGGAAGCUGUGGCGGCUCCUGCGGCGCGAGCGGAUGCUGUUCCGGCGGAAGGCGGAGGCGCCGCUGGAGCGGGCGGAGUUGAAGGGCAGCGAGGCGGCGCCGCCGCGGGUGGACCGGCCGGGCGAGGUGCGGAGGCAGCUGCGGUUCGAGUGGCGGUAGACGCUCAGGGAGCGGCGCGGGAGCAGGUUCUUGAGCCUCGGCCUCAGGGGGUUCACGAGCCGCAGCUGCCUCCCGCUCCUGAGCCGCAGGCGGCCCAGGGGCGGCGGCGGGUGCGGCGGGCAGGGCCUCUACCUCUUCGACCUGAAGUGCCUCCGCGGCACCCUGCUCAGCCUCUGGAAGGUGGACGCGUUCAUGGGCAGGCACCUCUAGCUGACCCUGAGGUAGGACAGCACUUGUCGUUCGUCGACGAUGAUGAUCAUGUCAGAAGCAAUUCGAGGCAUCGAUACUACAUUAGAGAGGAACCUAGCUUAGCCGCCGACGAGACCGGGCUGCCGUAAAAUCUGCAGCCGGUACCGACGACGCGCAUCGUCAUUAAUUGAUCAUCGUCAUUCAUUCAUCGGUCACCACAAAUCAUUCUAGCAACGAUGAUGAUGCACCACAUUAACUAGAGGACCAGCUGGACGGCCGUCAAAAAAAGUGCCGUUCCGCCGGUCAGCUCUCCACAUUAGUACAAAUGGGCAACUUUCUUAACGUGAUCGAAUACAUUGGUAUACGCACAGACAGAGAACCACGUGACGAUGACUACGUCACUACACACUUUACACGAGAACCUCAACACCGGAUGCGUCUACGAAGCAUCACGGAAAAGACUAACACGGUUUCAUGUCAUAUG